This is a long non-coding RNA of Entelurus aequoreus (snake pipefish), 2159 nucleotides long. RefSeq lists it as uncharacterized. Lineage: Eukaryota; Metazoa; Chordata; Actinopteri; Syngnathiformes; Syngnathidae. The record is from RefSeq and is a predicted model, not a curated record. The transcript is spliced from 11 exons.
AUUCAAAACAAUUGUUAAAUUGCGUUGACUAUUUUGCAGGUAAAUAGGAUUGUCAUUGUGUUACUCCAAGCCGCUAGGGGGCGAUGACGUGAAAGGGGAUAACUGCCACGACAUAUAAAAAGGGCGGAAACACUCCCAGACGGUCGAUUUGCCGAAGCGGACGACUGAAGAUGCCAUGUCUUAAACGUGAGGUAACUUCCUGUGGUGGCCAUUUUGUAAACCAACAGAUGAAGUUGCAGCAGGUGACGUGACCUCCUGUGGUGGCCAUUUUGUAAACCAACAGAUGGCGUUCCAGCAGGUGACGUGACCUCCUGUGGUGGCCAUUUUGUAAACCAACAGAUGACGUUCCAGGAGGUGAUGUAACCUUCUGUGGCGGCAGUUUUGUAAACCAACAGAAGAAGUUCCAGCAGGUGAUGUAACCUUCUGUGGCGGCAAUUUUGUAAACCAACAUAUGAAGUUCCAGCAGGUCAUGUAACCUUCUGUGGCGGCAAUUUUGUAAACAAACAUAUGAAGUUCCAGCAGGUGACGUGACCUUCUGGGGCGGCCAUUUUGUAAACCAACAGAUGAAGUUCCAGCAGGUGACGUGACCUUCUAGGGUGGCCAUUUUGUAAACCAACAGAUGAGGUUCCAGCAGGUGACGUAACCUUCUUUGGCGGCCAUUUUGUAGACCAACAGGUGGAGUUCCAGGCAGUUUCCACCAGAGGUCAACUGACCAAAGAUGGUUUAAAUCUUCCUUGGACGUCUGAGCGACAUGUGUAUCAGACUGUAUCCUGAUGAUUCUCCUCCUAUCACAGGUUGACCACCAGCUCGGGACGUUGAACCAGAACCACAUUUGUUUUGUUGGCAUCACAAGACCUUGUUUCUUUGUUGAAAUGUUUAAGUUAAAUAAAAUUACCUAAACAAUUUGAUGUCCUUUAACCGUUAAUACGUAUAAGAACCCGUAUCCAAUUGGGGCAUGUAGGAAACCUUUGAGUGGUUUUCAUGUGACUAUGGCAGAUUAUGGUUUCCCUAAAAUGCUGGUGUCAGGUAAAUUGUGUAGGUGCUAGCUCAUUACCAAAAGCUAAGUUUCUGCCAUUUAAGCUAAUUUUAAUCAAUCUAAAAAUUUAAUUAGGGGUCAUAUUUAAAUUCAACCACUAACUUUAUCCUAGCAAAGAAUCCAGGAAAAACAAGCUAAAUACAUCUAUAUUGGGCUUUUAGAAAGUGUAAUGGGAUGUUUUACAAUAGCAAAAACUUCAUUUAGGAAAAAAAACUGGUACACAUGUAUUUUACAAAUGGGGUUAGCCAUGAGCAAUGUAACCAACAUGUAUUUGUAACACCACAGGUUUGAUAUCCUAAUAGGCUGCAGGCCCCAUAUUUUUUUUUUGCUUACUUCAUAGGUUAAGGUGGUGUGGCCCACUCAGCCUGGACGGCUAAUGUUAUGGACUCUUGAGAAGUGCUAAAGCAGGGGUGUCCAACUUGUUUCUAUUGAGGGCCACAUCAGUUAUGACUGCUCUUGGCAGUUUGCUUGUAACUUUGUUUUAAAUGGAUUUGUCUUAUACAGGUGAAACUUCAACAAUUUGAGUAUAAUGCAAAGGUUAGCCUAUUCCAGCAAUUUGAUUUGGAAGGUGAAACUAAAGACUAGCUCAUAAAAUGCAGCCAAGAAAUGUCAAACUUUUUGAAAUUUUGAUUAUGGCUUACAGUUUCUGAUAAUCUGUAAAUGUUUUUUCUCAAAACUGAGUUGUGAUAUCAAAAUCAUAACAGGCAUGACAUAUCUCACUUGGCAUGUAGUGAGUUUGAAUCGUAUAUUUUCUCAUUUGAAGUUUGAAAUUAUUUUUUCCGCAAUAUUUUAUUUGAGUUUCAGUGUUUCACAAUUGCCAAUGGCAACGCAAGUAUAUUUGUAGUACACAAGGCAAUUACUGCUUUACAGAAAAUUACCUCAAAAGUCAAUUCAAAUUAAAUUAAAAACCAUCGUAAAUUAAGUGGUGUUCUUCAGACCUCGCCCCCCCCAAAUUCAAGACUCAUGGGAAAAAUACAUUCUAUUUUGCCGCCACACAGUGGAAUGCACUACCAACAGACCUUCAAAUUCGAACUUCCCAACUAAAUUUAAAAACUGCCAUAAAAUCAUGGCUCAGCUCAACCUCUACCUGGUCUGAACCAAAAUUGAUCCCCAGCAACUUUCC